Gavialis gangeticus (Gharial) is the source of this 114-nucleotide long non-coding RNA. RefSeq lists it as uncharacterized. The transcript has 3 exons. Lineage: Eukaryota; Metazoa; Chordata; Crocodylia; Gavialidae. The record is from RefSeq and is a predicted model, not a curated record.
UCUCUCAAAAAGCUUCCCCAGAAUCGAGGUAAGACUUACUGGCCUAUAGUUUUCUGGGUCCUCCUUCCUCCCUUUUUUGAGAAUGGGAACCACAUUGUCCCAUUUCCAGCCCCC